UACGUAGGGUGCGAGCGUUAAUCGGAAUUACUGGGCGUAAAGCGUGCGCAGGCGGCUUUGCAAGACAGAUGUGAAAUCCCCGGGCUCAACCUGGGAACUGCAUUUGUGACUGCAAGGCUAGAGUACGGCAGAGGGGGAUGGAAUUCCGCGUGUAGCAGUGAAAUGCGUAGAUAUGCGGAGGAACACCAAUGGCGAAGGCAAUCCCCUGGGCCUGUACUGACGCUCAUGCACGAAAGUGUGGGGAGCAAACAGG
Molecule: ribosomal RNA, 253 nt
Filed under: uncultured bacterium
Lineage: Bacteria
Description: partial 16S ribosomal RNA
Rfam family: Bacterial small subunit ribosomal RNA
Source: RNAcentral